Long non-coding RNA from Alexandromys fortis (reed vole), 1680 nucleotides. RefSeq lists it as uncharacterized. The record is from RefSeq and is a predicted model, not a curated record. NCBI's taxonomy places the organism in Eukaryota, Metazoa, Chordata, Mammalia, Rodentia, Cricetidae. The transcript has 4 exons.
GUUUUCCAUUGGAAUUGGACUGAGGCCCACUCAAGAAGGGUGUGGCUUUCUUGGUGACAGAAAUAAGGCUGGGAAUUAGAGCUUAGGAGAAGCUUCUUGUUGGAGCUUGACUAACAAAUGCAUCAGUGCCAAGAUGGUCUGAGGCCCCAGACUAAGGGCCCAGGUUUUCCCACCGUGAUGGAGCUGACAGCCUGAGAUCUCGUUACACUCUGGCAAAGUGGCUUUCUGACGAAACCCAACUUUGCAGAAUAAGGCAUUCUGGAAGCAGAAUUUCAUCACUUUAUCACUCCAGGAUUUAUUAGGAUGACUUACAGGUGUCGUCCAGCUAAUCCAACAAUGCUGCCUAUGAAGUCUGAGAAUCCAGUAGUUUUUCAGUCCACAAGAAUGGUGUCUCUACUGGUCUUCUGUAUUGGAUCCUGAAGAAGUUGCUCCAAUGCCAGUGAAGGAAUGGAUGCGCUAAUACGGUUCACACUUCUCAUUAAGGAACAGAGAAUCGUGUACGCGAGACCCCGCUUCCAGGUCUUGUCCUCUCAUUAGUUCCAGACUGCAGCAGGGAAAGUCCCAUCCCCCCACACCACGGAAAACAGCCUUGUCUGGUUGUGCCGGAUGGCGCACACCCACCCUACGAUGAGGGCCAUUAACAACCGCAGGCCACGCUAUGUCGUUGGCCAUCACAGCGCAUAUUAUAAAGUACUUAAAAGUUCAGGGUGGGAGAGUGAUAUUAAGAACAAGCUAAGGCACAGAAGCCUCAUCCGGGAUUUUUAGGUGCCGACCUCACCCACCCUGUCCCUUUUCCUGAGGGACAAGAACCAAGAUGGUGCCGAUUCCACUGUUAGCGUUCCUCGAAUCCUGGAUUCAGGAGCCUUGCUCUCUGUGCAGUGAAAAUGAACGCUAGUGCUGCCUUUGGGUGUAACCAUGUUCUUCCCACACAGGAAAACACCAGAGCAGGACUUUUCAAAUGAGCAGGAUGCAGUUUUUUGGAAAUGCAGCUCUGCGUGUGUGUGUGUGUGUGUGUGUGUGUGUGUGUGUGUGUGUGUAUGUGUUGGAAGCAGAGAAAAGCUAAUAAUUAAUGAUCUUUUGUGCUUUGCUCCUGAAGAGUGGGAGGUCAACCAAUAAAACAAAAACACUUUGUCUUCUCUUUGCCAGUGACAGCUAUUCUUAUAUGAAAAGUCUCCAACGGCAGGGCCUUUCCUCUGAUGGAGGAGCAAAGGCACGGUUGUGUGUGGCACGGAUGAGAGCCAGAGGCGCUGGGACCAGGGGAGGCCGUUUCUCUUUCUAGAUUGUUGGACAAUGUUGUUCACAUCUAAAUCACAACCCUAACUGAGAAACUUUAACACUGCAGCUUGUGGCUAGGUGGCGGUUAAAGGUCCCCACUGUGACCUUGGCUUUUGAGUGGGGAAUUCGGCAGUUCUUCUGAAGAGACCUCGUACCCAGCAGCUCCUUACAGAUGGCACAUUUAAAGAAAACUGGCAGGGACACUCCCCCUGCCUGCCGUGGGCUCUCUGGACUUUCUUCUUUAAAACCUUAAACUUUAGUGUCCUCUCCAAAUGCUCGAGAAGCCAAUCAUGAACCACUAAACACUUCAGAGGCUCCGAAAGGGACUUGGCCUGGCUGAGGUAAUGGCUGAUGGGAAAAGUUUCCUGGUAGCUUCGUCCACGGUGGAGAGGGGUCAUGGUUUAG